This 426-nucleotide ribosomal RNA is filed under the name uncultured bacterium. RNAcentral's name for it is "bacterial SSU rRNA". It matches the Rfam family "Bacterial small subunit ribosomal RNA", at positions 355 to 774 of the family's 1533-position model. The record is from RNAcentral.
UCGAGAAUCAUUCACAAUGGACGAAAGUCUGAUGGUGUGACGCCGCGUGGAGGAUGACGGUCUUCGGAUUGUAAACUCCUGUCAAGUGGGAGUAAAGCUUGGUGUUAACUGCAUCCAAGUCUGAGAGUACCACUAGAGGAAGAGACGGCUAACUCUGUGCCAGCAGCCGCGGUAAUACAGAGGUCUCAAGCGUUGUUCGGAAUCACUGGGCGUAAAGGGUGCGUAGGCUGUGUUGUAAGUCAGAGGUGAAAUCCCGGGGCUCAACCUCGGAACUGCCUCCGAUACUGCAAGACUUGAGGACUGGAGAGGAGAUUGGAAUUCAUGGUGGAGCAGUGAAAUGCGUAGAUAUCAUGAGGAACGCUAGUGGCGUAGGCGAAUCUCUGGACAGUUCCUGACGCUGAGGCACGAAGGCUAGGGGAGCAAACG